GAUGAACGCUGGCGGCGUGCCUAAUACAUGCAAGUCGAGCGAACAGACGAGGAGCUUGCUCCUCUGACGUUAGCGGCGGACGGGUGAGUAACACGUGGAUAACCUACCUAUAAUACUGGGAUAACUUCGGGAAACCGGAGCUAAUACCGGAUAAUAUAUUGAACCGCAUGGUUCAAUAGUGAAAGACGGUUUUGCUGUCACUUAUAGAUGGAUCCGCGCCGCAUUAGCUAGUUGGUAAGGUAACGGCUUACCAAGGCAACGAUGCGUAGCCGACCUGAGAGGGGGAUCGGCGACACUGGAACUGAGACACGGUCCAGACUCCUAAGGGAGGCAGCAGUAGGGAAUCUUCCGCAAUGGGCGAAAGCUUGACGGAGCAACGCCGCGUGAGUGAUGAAGGUCUUCGGAUCGUAAAACUCUGUUAUUAGGGAAGAACAAAUGUGUAAGUAACUAUGCACGUCUUGACGGUACCUAAUAAGAAAGCCACGGCUAACUACGUG
Molecule: ribosomal RNA, 497 nt
Filed under: uncultured bacterium
Lineage: Bacteria
Description: partial 16S ribosomal RNA
Rfam family: Bacterial small subunit ribosomal RNA
Source: RNAcentral